GCUUGCAAUGGGGGAAGCCUGAGCAGCGACGCCGCGUGGGCGAUGAAAGCCUUCGGGUUGUAAAGCCCUGUCGGAGGGGAAGAAACACAGGAUGGUUAAUAGCCAUUCUGCUUGACGGUACCCUCAGAGGAAGCACCGGGGGGGGUAGGGGGCCGGCAGCCGCGGUAAUACGUAGGGUGCAAGCGUUGUUCGGAAUCAUUGGGCGUAAAGCGCGUGUAGGCGGUCAAGCAAGUCGGAUGUGAAAGCCCUGGGCUCAACCUAGGACCUGCAUUUGUGACUGUAUAGCUAGAGUGCGGUAGAGGGGGAUGGAAUUCCGCGUGUAGCAGUGAGGUGGGGUGGAUAUGCGGAGGAACACCGAUGGCGAAGGCAAUCCCCUGGACCUGUACUGACGCUCAUGCACGAAAG
Molecule: ribosomal RNA, 405 nt
Filed under: uncultured bacterium
Lineage: Bacteria
Description: bacterial SSU rRNA
Rfam family: Bacterial small subunit ribosomal RNA
Source: RNAcentral